RNAcentral lists this ribosomal RNA (403 nucleotides) under Agrobacterium tumefaciens. Its description in RNAcentral is "bacterial SSU rRNA". It matches the Rfam family "Bacterial small subunit ribosomal RNA", at positions 21 to 455 of the family's 1533-position model. The record is from RNAcentral. Lineage: Bacteria; Pseudomonadati; Pseudomonadota; Alphaproteobacteria; Hyphomicrobiales; Rhizobiaceae.
GGCUCAGAACGAACGCUGGCGGCAGGCUUAACACAUGCAAGUCGAACGCCCCGCAAGGGGAGUGGCAGACGGGUGAGUAACGCGUGGGAACAUACCCUUUCCUGCGGAAUAGCUCCGGGAAACUGGAAUUAAUACCGCAUACGCCCUACGGGGGAAAGAUUUAUCGGGGAAGGAUUGGCCCGCGUUGGAUUAGCUAGUUGGUGGGGUAAAGGCCUACCAAGGCGACGAUCCAUAGCUGGUCUGAGAGGAUGAUCAGCCACAUUGGGACUGAGACACGGCCCAAACUCCUACGGGAGGCAGCAGUGGGGAAUAUUGGACAAUGGGCGCAAGCCUGAUCCAGCCAUGCCGCGUGAGUGAUGAAGGCCUUAGGGUUGUAAAGCUCUUCACCGGAGAAGAUAAUGAC